Molecule: long non-coding RNA, 1499 nt
Filed under: Selaginella moellendorffii
Lineage: Eukaryota; Viridiplantae; Streptophyta; Lycopodiopsida; Selaginellales; Selaginellaceae
Description: long non-coding RNA (SMOE_LNC001383)
Source: RNAcentral
GAGGCCUGGACAAGUGCUCCAGCCUCACGACCCUCGAUCUCUCACAGAACGAGCUCAGCGGCAGCAUUCCACCCAACGUUUGCAGCAUUCUUCCAUACCUGGUGGCCUUCGACAUCCACGAGAAUUCCUUCUCGGGAUCCAUCGAUACCUCCUUCAACAAUUGCACCUAUCUCAACAAUCUCGACUUGAGCCAGAACAGAUUCUCGGGACCCAUUCCCGGACAGAUUGGAGUUCUUCCGCGGCUAACCAAGUUUGACGUCUCCAACAACCAGUUCUCGGGGCCAAUUCCAUCAUCUUUAACCACGUUUGACUCUAGCGUCUUCGCCAGCAAUCCAGUACUGUGCGGUCAGCCUCUACGUAACGAAUGCCCACGCAGGAGCUGGCAAUCCGAGGUGCUGGAGGCUAUCCGAGGGUCCUCUCCAAUUCUCAUAUUCUCCAGUUUGUCUAGCUUCUUGAUCGUCUUGAGCUUGAUUCUGGCCAUAUGAUAGUCAAGAAGAACCUGAUUAUGAAAAUGUCUCUCUUUGUUUGAAAAUAGUCUUUGUUUAAAAAUUUGAAUUCCAAUCAACGAUCCAUAAUUAAAGUCCCCAGUCUCACAGUCAAGAAAAGUCAACACAACACCACCAGGGAGGAUCAUGGCGGAAAGACCACGGCGCUCCCGCCUUUUUGACCAGACAGAGUUUUCCAAAGACUUUGCUACGUGAGAUCCACGCCGUUGAAAAUUGCGCAACACCUGCCGUGGAUUCCUAGCCUUGACCGAAGAACGCAAUCUAGGCCGUCCGUGCGCAUUUUUCAUGGAAUUGGCUAUGGCGGCCCCAGAGCACACGCUAGGAUAAUGCAAAGGGAGAGAAGGCGGCAGGGCUAGGGCUUUAGGGAGAGGCGAGCGGGAUAGGAUUGCGAGCUGCUGCGGUCCCGCUAGAAAUCAAGGUGUGUCGAGCGCCUCGAAAUAUCGGUCGAGCUCCUGGAAUCUCGCGGCGAUGGAGGCGGCCAGGGCCGGAUUAUCGAGCAUUCUCGUCAUCGCGCUGCUUCUCGAGGUAAUUUCUUGCCAGAGCGACGUCGAGUGCCUCAGGGAGUUCAAGAGCUCGUUCAGGGAUCCCAUGCGCUUCCUCGACUCGUGGGUCUUCCCGCCGACGUCUAACAUCUGCAACUUCGCCGGGAUCACUUGCCUCCACCCGAACGAUUCCAGAGUGUAUGGCAUCUCUCUUCCAGGAUCCGGGUUCACGGGGGAAUUUCCUCGAGGCCUGGACAAGUGCUCCAGCCUCACGACCCUCGAUCUCUCACAGAACGAGCUCAGCGGCAGCAUUCCAGCCAACGUUUGCAGCAUUCUUCCAUACCUGGUGGCCUUCGACAUCCACGAGAAUUCCUUCUCGGGAUCCAUCGAUACCUCCUUCAACAAUUGCACCUAUCUCAACAAUCUCGACUUGAGCCAGAACAGAUUCUCGGGACCCAUUCCCGGACAGAUUGGAGUUCUUCCGCGGCUAACCAAGUUUGACGUCUCCAAC